CGGGACGUGGCGCAGUUUGGCAGCGCGCAUCGUUCGGGACGAUGAGGUCGCCGGUUCAAAUCCGGCCGUCCCGACCA
RNAcentral lists this transfer RNA (77 nucleotides) under Actinobacteria bacterium RBG_16_68_21. RNAcentral describes it as "tRNA-Pro". It matches the Rfam family "tRNA". Rfam says of the family: Transfer RNA (tRNA) molecules are approximately 80 nucleotides in length. Their secondary structure includes four short double-helical elements and three loops (D, anti-codon, and T loops). RNAcentral also lists the same sequence under 2 other names. Lineage: Bacteria; Bacillati; Actinomycetota. The record is from RNAcentral.